AACACGCUCCUUAGAUCCACCUCUAGAGGGGCCCCCCUCUGGGCGUGGCCCCUCAGCAGCUUCGUGCUGCACCGUUGGAGGUGCUUGAGUCAUUGGCGUGUAAGAACAGUCCACCUGCCCCCCAGCUCAGCUGCAGAACUGGCAACCCAGUCACCAGACGGGGAGCUCCCAGUGCUGCCAAACUGGGGGGCGGACACA
This is a small nucleolar RNA of Gouania willdenowi (blunt-snouted clingfish), 198 nucleotides long. Ensembl annotates it as small nucleolar RNA SNORA53. NCBI's taxonomy places the organism in Eukaryota, Metazoa, Chordata, Actinopteri, Blenniiformes, Gobiesocidae. The record is from Ensembl.